AUACGGAGGAUGCGAGCGUUAUCCGGAUUUAUUGGGUUUAAAGGGAGCGUAGACGGGAGCUUAAGUCAGCGGUUAAAUGGUGCGGCUCAACCGUGCCCUGCCGUUGAAACUGGGUUUCUUGAGAGUGCAAGAGGCGGAUGGAAUUCAUGGUGUAGCGGUGAAAUGCUUAGAUAUCAUGAAGAACUCCGAUUGCGAAGGCAGUCCGCUGGGGCACGUCUGACGCUGAUGCUCGAAGGUGCGGGAAUCAAACAGGAUUAGAUACCCUGGUAGUCCGCACGGUAAACGAUGAUUACCCGCUGUCGGCGGUAGACAGUCGGCGGCCAAGCGAAAGCGAUAAGUAAUCCACCUGGGGAGUACGCCGGCAACGGUGAAACUCAAAGGAAUUGACGGGG
Molecule: ribosomal RNA, 392 nt
Filed under: uncultured bacterium
Lineage: Bacteria
Description: partial 16S ribosomal RNA
Rfam family: Bacterial small subunit ribosomal RNA
Source: RNAcentral